RNAcentral lists this ribosomal RNA (466 nucleotides) under uncultured bacterium. RNAcentral describes it as "partial 16S ribosomal RNA". It matches the Rfam family "Bacterial small subunit ribosomal RNA", at positions 28 to 507 of the family's 1533-position model. The record is from RNAcentral.
GAUGAACGCUGGCGGCGUGCUUAACACAUGCAAGUCGAACGAUGAAGCCCAGCUUGCUGGGUGGAUUAGUGGCGAACGGGUGAGUAACACGUGAGUAACCUGCCCUUAACUCUGGGAUAAGCCUGGGAAACUGGGUCUAAUACCGGAUAGGAGCGUCCACCGCAUGGUGGGCGUUGGAAAGAUUUAUCGGUUUUGGAUGGACUCGCGGCCUAUCAGCUUGUUGGUGAGGUAAUGGCUCACCAAGGCGACGACGGGUAGCCGGCCUGAGAGGGUGACCGGCCACACUGGGACUGAGACACGGCCCAGACUCCUACGGGAGGCAGCAGUGGGGAAUAUUGCACAAUGGGCGCAAGCCUGAUGCAGCGACGCCGCGUGAGGGAUGACGGCCUUCGGGUUGUAAACCUCUUUCAGUAGGGAAGAAGCGAAAGUGACGGUACCUGCAGAAGAAGCACCGGCUAACUACGUG